RNAcentral lists this ribosomal RNA (882 nucleotides) under Microbacterium foliorum. RNAcentral describes it as "bacterial SSU rRNA". It matches the Rfam family "Bacterial small subunit ribosomal RNA", at positions 56 to 947 of the family's 1533-position model. The record is from RNAcentral. Lineage: Bacteria; Bacillati; Actinomycetota; Actinomycetes; Micrococcales; Microbacteriaceae.
UGCAGUCGAACGGUGAACACGGAGCUUGCUCUGUGGGAUCAGUGGCGAACGGGUGAGUAACACGUGAGCAACCUGCCCCUGACUCUGGGAUAAGCGCUGGAAACGGCGUCUAAUACUGGAUACGAGUAGCGACCGCAUGGUCAGUUACUGGAAAGAUUUAUUGGUUGGGGAUGGGCUCGCGGCCUAUCAGCUUGUUGGUGAGGUAAUGGCUCACCAAGGCGUCGACGGGUAGCCGGCCUGAGAGGGUGACCGGCCACACUGGGACUGAGACACGGCCCAGACUCCUACGGGAGGCAGCAGUGGGGAAUAUUGCACAAUGGGCGCAAGCCUGAUGCAGCAACGCCGCGUGAGGGAUGACGGCCUUCGGGUUGUAAACCUCUUUUAGCAGGGAAGAAGCGAAAGUGACGGUACCUGCAGAAAAAGCGCCGGCUAACUACGUGCCAGCAGCCGCGGUAAUACGUAGGGCGCAAGCGUUAUCCGGAAUUAUUGGGCGUAAAGAGCUCGUAGGCGGUUUGUCGCGUCUGCUGUGAAAUCCGGAGGCUCAACCUCCGGCCUGCAGUGGGUACGGGCAGACUAGAGUGCGGUAGGGGAGAUUGGAAUUCCUGGUGUAGCGGUGGAAUGCGCAGAUAUCAGGAGGAACACCGAUGGCGAAGGCAGAUCUCUGGGCCGUAACUGACGCUGAGGAGCGAAAGGGUGGGGAGCAAACAGGCUUAGAUACCCUGGUAGUCCACCCCGUAAACGUUGGGAACUAGUUGUGGGGUCCAUUCCACGGAUUCCGUGACGCAGCUAACGCAUUAAGUUCCCCGCCUGGGGAGUACGGCCGCAAGGCUAAAACUCAAAGGAAUUGACGGGGACCCGCACAAGCGGCGGAGCAUGCGGAUU